UUCUUUCUUGCAUCUUACAAAAAUAGGAUUGAGGGUGAAGAACUGAGUGUGAGGAAAAAAAAGAUUAGUAAGCUGUAUCACCAGCUAAACAAAGAUGAGAGAAUACUGUCAGAGGGCAAAGGAAACUAGAGCUAAGAGUGAGGAACCAGAACCGAAAAUUUUAGCAGCCUGCAACAUCGAAUUCUUAGGAGAAAAGGGUAAGAACCUGCACCUAUUUUCUGUUUAUUCAGUGUAACUAGAAAAUCACAUGAGCUGCACGAAAACUUAGUAAAGAAAUGGACUCUUAGCAAAGGUGAAAUUCUGUUUUGAAGGAAAUGAAACUGUCGGAUAGCAAUGGAGGAAAUUGAGAGCUGUAGUUUGAAUUGCAGCCUAUAAAUGAUGAAAAUUUAUGUAAUAACCUCUUAAUCAUCUAGUACACUUGAAUACGCAUGCUGUGUGCUGGAUUCUAGCCAAGAAAAAUUAAGUUUUGUUGCAGGAAAAUCUUGUUUAGAAACUGAUAACUCGUUGGAAGAAAAUUCUGUUCUCUAACCAAGAGACAGGUACUAAUUGUACAACUUGCUAUCAGAGAAAGAUGUAAAUUGUUAAGAGAAUAUAAGUAUUCUUGUAUAUAAUAAAUUAAUAAGAGUAUACUUGUAAAUAGUUUAUUAGGUUUGUCUCCUAUAAAUACUAGUUGGUCACUCAUAAUACGGUGACUAGAUGUUUUCCUCCCAAAAUACCUGUUUUCAUGAUAUUAGAGCAAAAAUCCUAGGGUUAGGGUUAAACAUCUAACAAAAGUCCUGUUUACGCGAUACUGUUCAUCGCGUUCAGGCGGCACUGUUCACGAGGCACUGUUCAUCUCGAGUUUUGAUCAUUUCUUUGGUUUGAAGUGUUAUUCACUAUGGCUGAAAUUUUAUCAAAAGGCAUUAUGAUGUCCACUAAUAUUAUGCCAAUGGUGAUGCCUCCAAUCACAAAUUGAAAAUUGAAUGAUACUAAUUAUCAACAGUGGUCAAAAGCCGCUAAGAUUUAUCUGACAGGUUUAGGAAAGCAGUAAUAUCUCAUAGAUGACUCUCCUAUGGAGGACCACAAGAGACUAAUGUGGAUUCAAGAGGAUACCCAAAUUCUUGGAGCAAUAUGAAAUUCUAUAGAGCCACGAAUUGCUUACAUGUGUUCUCAUUGUGAGACAACAAAAGAAGUUUGGGAUUAUGUCCGGUUAUUAUACUGCAGUAAUCUUUCACGGAUAUAUAAUAUUUCUUUGGAGUAUUUUCAGUUGCAACAAGAUAACAAGACAAUAACUGAAUACUUUGAUGAUCUUAAGCGAGUUUCACAAGAAUUAAAUGCUGUAAUGCCUCUCUCAAGUGAUAUUACGGUUAUACAGUGGCAAAGAGAACAAAUACUUGCGCUCAAAUUCUUGGUUAGUCUCAAACCAGAAUUUGAACCAAUCAAAUCUCAAAUUUUAGCAGGUGAACAAUUACCAUCCUUUGUAGAGGCGUAUGCUCGGGUCUUAUGUUCUGCAUCUAAGGACAAUGAACAAGGUGAUUGUGCUCUAAUUAAUGACAAAUCUACUUUAGUUGCUAACAACAAUCGGAUAGAGCAACUUAAUUUGGGACGUGGCUCUCAUGGAGGAAGAAGUAAAGGAGGUCGUGGAAGUCAAGGCAUCCGUGAGUGAACUCAUUGUGGUUUGAAGAAUCACACUCGUGAUACUUGUUGGGAUUUAAAUGGAAAACCACUUCGGUUUGCUAAUGCGGUUACCACUGACCAAACUGAAUCAAGUUAUUCAGUACAUGGGUUUCAGAAAACUUUUACCAUACCUGAGGAAGAUUAUGUCAAAUUUUUACAGUACCAAACUGUAAAUCACGCAUAUUUUCCCUCUGUUUCUUUAGCACAAAAAGGUAAUGCUAUGGCUUGUCUCUUCACAUCCUCUAAUUUUGACUCAUAGAUCAUUGAUUUAGGGGCUACUAAUCAUAUGUUAGGUAUUUUUAGAAAUUUUUCUAAUUUUCAAGAGUAUACUUCCUUCCCUCAUGUUACUUUAACUGAUGGAUCUACAACUAAACUUAAAGGACUAGGCACUGUAGAAAUUAAUCCAUCUCUUUCGCUGUCUUCUGUUCUUUACGUAUCCAAUUUGCCUUUUAAUCUAAUGUCGGUUAGUAAGUUUACUAAAUUUCUACAGUGUUCAGUUACUUUUUCUCUUGAUUUUGUUGUCAUUUAGGAUUUGAAAACGAAGAGGAUGAUUGGUGGAGGGUAUGAGCACAAUGGUCUUUAUUUUUUCAACUCUAAUGGUCCGAUUGCGUACCCUGCCACUGUUUCUCCUCUUAAAACUCACUGUCAUUUGGGUCAUCCGUCUCUACAAAAUUUGAAGAAUUUGGUUCCUACCUUGAGUCAGUUGUAUUCAUUAGAAUGUGAAUCUUAUCAAUUAGAUAAACAUCAUCGUGUUUCUUUUGUCCCUAGAGUCAAUAAACGGGUUUCAGAACCCUUUUUGUUAGUUUAUUCUGAUGUUUGGAGUCCUAAUCGAAUCACUUCAAAGUUAAGUUUUAAAUAUUUUGUAAUUUUUGUUGAUAAUUUUUCCGGAGUUACAUGGUUUUAUUUAAUAAAAGAUCGUUCAGAACUAUAUUCCAUUUUUUGUGCAUUUGUUACAGAAAUAAAGAAUCAAUUUGGUGUACCUGUACAUAUACUUCGCAGUGAUAAUGCGAAAGAAUAUUUUUUCACUCCUUUUGAUACCUUUAUGACUAAAUCCGGUAUUCUUCAUCAGUUCUCUUGUCCUCACACUUCACAACAGAAUAGAGUUGCUGAAAGAAAAAUUGAACAUUUAAUCGAAGUUGUUUGAACACUUUUGUUGCACAUGAAUGUGCCUAAACACUUUUAGAGUGAUGCAGUUCUAACCGCAUGUUAUUUAAUUAAUCGCAUGCCAUCUAGUAUUUUUGGAGCCUAAUUACCUCACUCUAUUCUUUUUCCUCAUAAACCUGUAUUUAAAUUACCUCAUCGUAUUUUUAGACGUGUGUUCUUUGUUUAUCAGCUUGCUCCCGAGGUGGAUAAAUUAGAUUCUCGUGCUCUUAAGUGUAUUUUUUUAGGAAACGCAUGAGCGCAAAAAGGGUAUAGAUGUUACAAUUCAGUUUUAAAUCAAUUUUUUACUUGUGUUGAUGUUAUUUUCUUUGAAUCCACUCCAUAUUUUAUGAAACACGGUAUAUCUUGUGAGUUAGACCAGUGUCCCUCUUUUUACUCUCCUGUUUUACUAGUCCCUUCUUUUUAUUACCUGAGUUUUCUAGUCCACCAGAUUCCAUAACUCGAUUAUUUCGUCCUAAUUUUCAAGUUUAUUCUCGUCGUUCUAUAGUUGAGAAAGUUCCUGAUAUGUCACGCACUUCACCAAUUAACUCUCAAUUUUCAAAUUCAGGUAUGACGUCCUCCUCUGAUUUAGAUCUUCCCAUUGCUUUAUGCAAAGGUAAGAGGUAUUG
This 3425-nucleotide long non-coding RNA is filed under the name Coffea arabica (coffee). RNAcentral's name for it is "long non-coding RNA (CARA_LNC003786)". The record is from RNAcentral. Lineage: Eukaryota; Viridiplantae; Streptophyta; Magnoliopsida; Gentianales; Rubiaceae.